RNAcentral lists this unclassified non-coding RNA (360 nucleotides) under uncultured Rhytismataceae. Its description in RNAcentral is "sequence contains ITS2". The stretch from base 1 to 153 matches the Rfam family "5.8S ribosomal RNA". The record is from RNAcentral. Lineage: Eukaryota; Fungi; Ascomycota; Leotiomycetes; Rhytismatales; Rhytismataceae.
AACUUUUAGCAACGGAUCACUUGGUUCUGGCAUCGAUGAAGAACGCAGCGAAAUGCGAUAAUUAAUGUGAAUUGCAGACUCAGUGAAUCAUCGAAUCUUUGAACGCACAUUGCGCCCUCUGGUAUUCCGGGGGGCAUGCCUGUUCGAGCGUCAUUACAACCCUCAAGCUCUGCUUGGUGUUGGGCGAGCCCUGUAGGGCUCGCCUCAAAGUCAGUGGCGGCACUGUCUGACCCUUAAGCGUAGUAAUACUCGUCGCUUUUUCGGUGAGACUGGGCCUGCCAGCCAACCCCCACCAUCAAGGUUGACCUCGGAUCAGGUAGGGAUACCCGCUGAACUUAAGCAUAUCAAUAAGCGGAGGCU